This is a non-coding RNA of Caenorhabditis elegans, 21 nucleotides long. The record is from Ensembl. NCBI's taxonomy places the organism in Eukaryota, Metazoa, Nematoda, Chromadorea, Rhabditida, Rhabditidae.
UUUGGAGACUUUAUGCAGAAC